GCGUUCUUAGUUUAAAGGAUAAAACAUAAGUCUUCGAAACUUAUAAUACUAGUUCAAUUCUAGUAGAACGCUUA
Molecule: transfer RNA, 74 nt
Filed under: Ulva meridionalis
Lineage: Eukaryota; Viridiplantae; Chlorophyta; Ulvophyceae; Ulvales; Ulvaceae
Also listed under: 2 other names
Description: tRNA-Arg
Rfam family: tRNA
About the family: Transfer RNA (tRNA) molecules are approximately 80 nucleotides in length.
Source: RNAcentral